RNAcentral lists this non-coding RNA (142 nucleotides) under Microbispora sp. ATCC PTA-5024. RNAcentral describes it as "SAM riboswitch aptamer (S box leader)". It matches the Rfam family "SAM riboswitch aptamer (S box leader)". From Rfam's summary of the family: The SAM riboswitch is found upstream of a number of genes which code for proteins involved in methionine or cysteine biosynthesis in Gram-positive bacteria. The SAM riboswitch acts at the level of transcription termination control. The predicted structure consists of a complex stem-loop region followed by a single stem loop terminator region. Lineage: Bacteria; Bacillati; Actinomycetota; Actinomycetes; Streptosporangiales; Streptosporangiaceae. RNAcentral also lists the same sequence under 1 other name. The record is from Rfam by way of RNAcentral.
UGCUCAUCCAGAGGGGUGGAGGGACCGGCCCUGCGAAGCCCCGGCAACCCUCCCGGUGACCGAACUCGUGCCUCACGAGGCCGGCCGGGACAGGUGCCAAUUCCGGCUCGUGACCAGGGUGGUCACCGAGCGAAGAUGAGGG